UCCCUGGUGGUCCAGUGGUUAAGACUCUGUGCUUCCAAUACAGUGGGCGCCAGUUUGAUUCCGGGUCAGGGAA
This 73-nucleotide transfer RNA is filed under the name Bos taurus (domestic cattle). It matches the Rfam family "tRNA". Rfam says of the family: Transfer RNA (tRNA) molecules are approximately 80 nucleotides in length. Their secondary structure includes four short double-helical elements and three loops (D, anti-codon, and T loops). RNAcentral also lists the same sequence under 3 other names. Lineage: Eukaryota; Metazoa; Chordata; Mammalia; Artiodactyla; Bovidae. The record is from Rfam by way of RNAcentral.